This is a non-coding RNA of Oryctolagus cuniculus (rabbit), 490 nucleotides long. The record is from RefSeq and is a predicted model, not a curated record. Lineage: Eukaryota; Metazoa; Chordata; Mammalia; Lagomorpha; Leporidae.
CAUGAAUCACUACAUGUAUUGUCUGGGACAUAGCAGAUGAGGACUAAUUACUGUUAUUUUUUUCAUUAUUUGCUCUAAAAACCCAAGAAAAUAAAAAUAAUGCUCAGUAAAGUAAUGGACCUUGCAGAAAGAGCUAGCUACAACUACUAACUCAGAGACCAAGAUCGUUAACUUGUCAUCUGUUUUCAAAGACUGUUCUCUUCACUAUAAACUAUCUAACAAAAACAUCACCUGUGCAAUGACUCUUGCAGAAUACGAGAGGUUUUUCAAAAGUUCGUGGAAAAUGUGCGUUAUCAAAAUGGCUUCACACAUUUUUGUACCAAGGGAGCUGAGUACAUUAAAGGAGAACAAAGGCCAAAGGCUUCAGUCUGAAAUAAUAGAUGUCCUAUAGACAGACAUCAGUAUUGUGGACUAAGUUGAAAUAACCAGAGGCAUGAAUAAGCAAACGGUAAAAGGACAAACAUUUGAAUUGUUCUCAGAUUUAUAUACA